This is a long non-coding RNA of Salvelinus fontinalis (brook trout), 5965 nucleotides long. RefSeq lists it as uncharacterized. NCBI's taxonomy places the organism in Eukaryota, Metazoa, Chordata, Actinopteri, Salmoniformes, Salmonidae. The transcript has 2 exons. The record is from RefSeq and is a predicted model, not a curated record.
UUGAGGUGCUGGCCCCUCGCUUCUCCUGCACACGCUCAGACAUGGUGUGGCAGAGGGUGUGCUGGAAGCUGCUGGAGACCGUCCCAGAGUGCUGGCUGGAGUGUGUUCUCACUGGGCUGGUGCAGGAUGUCAACUGUCAACAGCCUGACAGAGGUCCAGGAUCAUGGGGAAGCUGGUGUUGAAGGACAGAAAGUCCACUUAAAAAGCUGUUGUUAUAGCCGAAGUCUUCAACUUCACUCUUGUUUUGAGGAUUCUUCUGGGCUACCCGGCUCAGGACAGGGAGAGGCCACUACUUAUACAGGUGAGUGUACAACAGUCUUUGGUGUUGUGAUGAUAUGUGUGUAUUUUCAUGACAAUGUUGAUUGUGUGUGUGUGACUGCGUGUGUGUCCAGGUGCUGCGGUUGCUGUGCCAGGCCUGAGCCAACCCCCUCUGGAGCUUCAGCUCUAUGUGAGCCGGGCUCUGCUGCUGUGUGUGACUGAGUGAUGCAGAGCGACAGUAGCUACGCUCAGGUAACACCCCUAAUACUACGGCACAGUAUUGUCACACGAUCAGAGCUGUUCAUACUAGCUUCUGACCUGUCCGCCUCUUGAGUUAUAUUCAUUUUUACUAGGAAAACGACGAUAAACAUUUUGUUAUGGGAAGUGUACAUGUAGUCCCACCUUGUUGAAGUCUGUUUUCUUCUGUUUUGUGCCUACUGAUCACAACCCUAAUGUCUUUUCCCCUGUCAGAGUUACUGCAGUUCAUGCUGGGAGGGAUACAGAGCCACCUGGAUAGCAGGGUAGUGCAUGUGAGGGGCAUGGUGGUUGGGGGGUGUCUCCGCUCCUGCAUGGACAUCAACAGAGCUAAGCUCAAAUUUGAGGUAUACUACAGUAUGGCACCGUACCCAAGGUUUUGGGUGCAUCUCAAUAGUUUGAAGUGGCUUAUAUUCUGUUCUCUGCUCAUACUGCUCUGAAUGAACUGGACGGGUGAAAACAAAUACCAUAAUGCUUUCACCUAUCUGCUGUUCAGAUCAGUGCAAAUGAAAGAAAGGAGAUAGGAAGCCACUGUAGACUAUUGAGGUGCACCCCUACAAUAGGCUUUGCCUGCCUUAUUAUAAUUAAUGUGUAGGACACAGGGAAGGGUGUGUGUUCAGUGUUUCUUUCCCUCAGGAUGAGGAGACCAAGGAUCUGCUCUCACUGAUGACUCCAAUGUCUGAUGAAGAAACGGAGUCGCUUAAUGACAGAUUGGCUCGUCCUCGAGGUCAAAGGGCAGACUAUACCAUCCCAGGCUGCUUCAGUGGCCCAGAAAUCAGGAGCUGACCCAGACUCUUGUUAUACACUACAUUUAUUAACAUAAUGUUGUCUGUGAGACUGAAGUUGUAUAUUUAAUUCAAAUCAUUACAACUUAAUGAAUCUUCCCACGGGCAGUUAAGAAGGCAUGGUAUAGAGCUCGCCAACUUGUAGUCCGAAAAAACAUAAAUGCUUCAAAAAUCACAAAAGUUAGAUUAACUGAUGAAGAUUAUCUUAUUGAGCAGAACAUAUAAGAUCUCCUAAGCCUGUGUUUACCACAGACCUUAUUUUCGGUGUUUAUCCAAAAACCCUCCAAAAAGGCCAUUAAUUUCCCCAUAGCCUUGUCCAACAAACCAUGGUGGAGUUAGUGCCUACAAAAAGAUGCCAUUUCUAUUUCUCUACAGUAGUGUUGUAAUAACUAGGCUCUAUGUCCCUGUCCUGUGUUUGUAUGAACCAGUGAUGAUUCGCUCACCCACUACUGAAAAGGUGAUGAGACAAGCCGCCCCGCCUUGCUACCUCCGAGACUGUCUUGGAGAGUAAGAUACAGUAUAUACAGUACAUUCGGAAAGUAUUCAGACCCCUUCCCCAUUUUGUUACAGCCUUAUUCUAAAAUGGAUUAAAUGAAACAUUGGACUCUGCAAGGUGUUGAAAGUGUUCCACAGGGAUGCUGGCCCAUGUUGACUCCAAUGCUUCCCACAGUUGUCAAGUUGUUUGGCUGGCCUUUGGGUGGUGGAUCUUUCUUGAUACACACAGGAAACCGUUGAGAGCAGGGUUCGCACAAGGUGCUUAAAGUACUUGAAUUUGGCACUCUAAAAUUCAAGUACUGGAAGACCUUGAAAAUCAGACCUUUUCUCAAGUUAGUACUUGAAAAGUACUUGAAUUAAAAUGAGAGCAGAGCAGAACAUGAUCAAAUAUGUUAUUUCCUUACGUGUUUUCCUUUCACCACAAUGGCACUCAGCCAGGCAGGUACAGAAUUGAUUGAUUAAGCGCCGCCAAACAUCACAUCGAUAGCUAAAAUGCCGGGCAAAUGUAGAUUUAUUCCUGCCUGACAGGAUAUUGAUGUUAAUGAAUGGGUUUUGCCAGACAACCAGGGAUUUUUACUUGUGAAAUAGCGUUUACUUACCAUAUUUUGUUAAUUAUUGUUUACCCACUUAUUACGUUCCCAGCAUUGAUCAACGCUCAGAAGGAUUUUUGAUCAGAGUUCUAAUUGCGCCUACCUCUGCGAACAAGUGGAAUCAUGAGUGAUUCAUGUAUGUUCGUUAUGUUCGCCUGCUCCCCGGAUUUGCCUUGAAGGCAGCUCAUUCAUUGCCUACUCUGUCCAAGGGGAAAUUCCGCCCACGACAUAGGCGGAGAGGUGAAAGGAACUAACUCAACCCAGACAAUGGCAAGUGUCAGACGCCGUUGACAGCGGGGAUUUUUUUUAACAUCCCUCGACUCCUGCGGUGUCAACGGACAUCCCCAAAACGAAAAACCCCUGGCUCUCGGAGAAUGAGUGUGCAACUGGUAAAUAGUCGCUGCUAUUUCAGUCAGAUGUCUAGCUAGCUCGGUAGCGCUAGGACUCUGGCUAUAACUAGCUGACUAGAAGGAUGCAAUUAGAAGCUAACGUCGAACGGAGCCUGACCUCUGCAGGAGCAGUUGACAAAUUAAGAUGGCUAUAAUCAAAAGAUUGGCUACAAUAAUUUAUCAUAACAAAAAACAUUAUUUACAGAGAGUAGUAAAACAGACAGCGGUAAGUCAGGCUGCAAUGGAGGCAAAGGAAGAUCCAAAGAGGAAGCAUUGAAGCAAGCAGGGAGAGAGACAGUAUUACAGUUGUACCCAAACUUGUGGUCCCAUAAGUUUUAAAUAGGGUCCCCUGAGAGAGUCCUUCAUCUUAUUAAACACAAUAACUUGUAUCUCUUCAAAUGGGUAUAGAAUGCAACAUUUUAGAGUCAACUAAAGGAGGGGCAUUUUACACUGUCAGAAUUCACUUUCAUGUCAUUGUGUUGGGACAGCUUCUGGGUCCCAAAAUGUUGAGUUAUAAAGACAAUUUAAAUAUUAUCAUGUACACUGAACAAAAAUAUAAAUGCAACAUGCAACAAUUUAAAAUAUUAUACUGAGUUAGUUCAUAUGAGAAAAUCAGUCAACAUCAUCAGUACUGACUUUACCACUCUUGUGUAGUAAAUAAGUAGUGAAACGUAUUAUUGAGUAGAACUUGUAAGGCAGUGAUGAAUAGUACGUAAUCUUUUUCAUGUGGUUGAUAUACUGCAAUCUGGUGGUGACUAAACAUUUGCAUAAUAGGAACUAUUACAAAUGGAUAAUCCUUGAAAAUAAGUAUUAGUGCUUGAAAGUCCUUGCAUUUGACUUGCCACUGUCUGUACGAACCCUGUGAGCGUGAAAAACCCAGCAGCUUUGCAGUUCUUGACACAAACCGGUGCGCCUGGCACCUACUACCAUUCCCCGUUCAGAGGAACUUUAAUCUUUUGCCUUGGCCAUUCACGCUCUGAAUGGCACACAUACACAAUCCAUGUCUCAAGGAUUUAACAUCAAUAAGGGAUCAUAGCAUUCACCUGGAUUCACCUGGUCAGUCUGUCAUGGUGUCCACAACGUUUUGUACACUUAGUGUACAUACCAUGCACAAUUUUGACAAGGUGGAUGAUACAUACUGAAUUUAUACUGUUUUUCAUACUAAGAUGGGUUGCUUUUUCACAUAUUUGUUUUUGCAAGAGUUGAUGGGUCGGUUCAUUGGUUUUCGAAUAUGUGCAUGCCAUUGAUUAAGAAUAGGAUGCAAUGUCCACCCCAAAAUAUAAGCUUGUUUUACUCCAUUGUUUGUAAACAAUAUAAUUGUACAAAUAAAUUGGUUACAUAAAUAAUGACUAAAUGUUACAUGAAAUGUAAAUAAGAAAUAUCUCAACCAUCUCAACCAUCAAAUAUCUCAAUGUUAAUAUGUAUUGGCAAUAAUUCACUUAAUGGUGAGGUAUAGAAUAAUACAACAUGUAUCUUUUCUCACACUGGAUGUUUGAAAUAUGAGCAGGUGAUUUGAGUCAUGCUUCUUCAGUAGUGGAAUAAAGACAAUUAGCACUUCAAUGUUCUUAAUCAAUACUGUGUAAUUACUGAAUUGAUGUAUGAUUAUUAAUACAAUUGUUCAUAGACCAAUUUGAUACUGUGUCCAUUUGUAUGAAACUACAUUGAAAUUACCUGAAAAAAGUAUUUAACUUUCAACCAAAACCAAAAGUAGGAUAUUAGGAAGAUGUUCUUAAUGUUUUGUACACAAUGUAUACUGUCCAGAAUGUAUCCUUGCCAUGGCAUACUACACAGUGCCUUCGGGAAAGUAUUCAGACCCCUUGACUUUUUCCACAUUGUUACGUUACAGCCUUAUUCUGAAAUUAAAUUGUCCCCCCCCCCCCCUCAAACUACACACAGUACCCCAUAAUGACAAAGCAAAAACAGGUUUAGAAUUUUUUGCAAAUGUAUUACAAAUUUUUAAAAACUCACAUUUUACAUAAGUAUUCAGACCCUUUAAGUACUUUGUUGAAGGACCUUUGGCAGCGAUUACAGCAUCAAGUCUUGGGUAUGACGUUACAAGCACCUCCUGCGUUGUCUUGGCUGUGUGCUUAGGGUUGUUGUCCCGUUGGAAGGUGAGCCUUCACCCCAGUCGGAGGUCCUGAGCGCUCUGGAGCAGGUCUUCACCAAGGAUCUCUGUACUUUGCACCAUUUAUCUUUACCUCGAUCCUGACUAGUCUCCCAGUUCACGCCACUGAAAAACAUCCGCACAGCAUGAUGCUGCCACCACCAUGCUUCACCAUAGGGAUGGUUUUGGCCAGGUGAUUAGCAGUGCCUGGUUUCCUCCAGACGUGAUGCUUGGCAUUGAGGCCAAAAAGUUCAAUCUUGGUUUCAUCAGACUAGUGUCUUGUUUCUCAUGAUCUGAGAGUCCUUUAGGUGCCUUUUGGCAAACUCCAAGCGGGCUGUCAUGUGCCUUUUACUGAGGAGUGGCUUCCGUCUGGCCACUCUACCAUAAAGGCUUGAUAGGUGGAGUGCUGCAUAGAUGGUUGUCCUUCUAGAAUGUUCUCCCAUCUCCACAGAGGAACUCUGGAGUGCUGUCAGUGUGACCAUCUGGUUACUGGUCACCUCCCGGACCAAGGCCCUUCUCCCCUAAUUGCUCAGUUUAGCGGGGAGGCCAGCUCUAGAAGAGUCUUGGUGGUUCUAAACUUCCAUUUAAGAAUUAUCAAGGCCACUGUGUUCUUGGGAGACCUACAAUGCUGCAUACCUUUUUUGGUACCCUUCCCCAGAUCUGUGCCUCGUCACAAUCCUGUCUCGGAGCUCUAGGGACAAUUCCUUCGACCUCGGCUUGGUUUUUCCUCUGACAUGCACUGUCAACUGUGGGACCUUAUAUUAGACAGGUCAUGCCUUACCAAAUCAUGUCCAAUCAAUUGAAUUUCUCAGGUGCACUCCAAUCAAGUUUCUAAAAACAUCUCAAGGAUGAUCAAUGGAAACAGGAUGCAUCUGAGCUCAAUUUCGAGUCUCCUAGUAAAGCGUCUGAAUCCUUAUGUAAAUAAGGUAUUGCAAACAUUUCUGAACCUGUUUUCGCUUUAUUAUGGUGUAAUGUGUAGAUUUGUUUUUAAAUGCAUGUUAGAAUAAGGCUGUAACAAAAUGUGGGAAAAGGGAAGGGGUCUGAAUACUGUUUGAACAUAUGAAUCUGGAAAUAAAUUGUCUUGCAAUA